This 851-nucleotide long non-coding RNA is filed under the name Ananas comosus (pineapple). RNAcentral describes it as "long non-coding RNA (ACOM_LNC017110)". The record is from RNAcentral. Lineage: Eukaryota; Viridiplantae; Streptophyta; Magnoliopsida; Poales; Bromeliaceae.
CUUUUGCUUCUCAAACUAUGAGGGGCUGAUAUCUUAGAUGCCAACUUUAAUUUCACUACAACAAAAACGGUCUAUAGCGAUAUUUUUAAAUGUAGGUACAUGUCAAAAAAGUGCUGCUAGCUAAAAUUACCGACACUUUUAAAAAGUGUUGCUAUAUGUGGGGUCGCUAGGUAUAUAGUGACAGUUAAAGAGUGUCGCUAUAACCUAAAAGAGUGCUACUAAUUUACCAACACUUAUUUAAGUAUUUAGCAACCGCCGAAACUCUAUCUCGUUGGCUGCGGUGGCGGAGGAGGACGACAGGAAAGGCUCUUCGUCUAGAAUUUCAGUGGAUUGAGUGAAGAGAAAAGAAAAGAUGGUAAUUGAUUUUUCUUUUUUUUUUUCUUUUCUGUUUGUAAUCGUGCCAAAUGCACGGGGUGUGAUGGGUUGAGUAGAGUAAUCUUUUAUUUUUGGUUGGAUUGGGCUUUAUAUUUAGCCAUUAGUAGAUAUUUUUUUAAGUUUUAGGAUAAAUGGGCACUUACUCAAAAGUGUCCCAAACAUGUGUCCCUAUAACCUAAUUCUGUUGUAGUGUUUAUUGUAAUUUUAGUUUGAAUUUUAUAAAUUAUUGUAAUAAUUUUUCAUAGCUUUGAUUAAAUAUUGAUAUAUUGGUCAUUGCCUCGUCAUUAACCAUAGUACGAGACAUUACUAUCGGUGACAUAUCAUCGUUUGGUCAAACUUAUUAGACUAUGGGGCUUGAUUACAAUAAUUUAAAAAGUUUGAACAAAAAUUACAACAGAUUAAAGCUAUAGAACAUCUCAAAUAAUCCAAAAUAGGUGUAAAUCUUACACCUUUCAAAUCUAAGUGUCCAAAAUUUU